AUUCCAGCUCCAAUAGCGUAUAUUAAAGUUGUUGCAGUUAAAAAGCUCGUAGUUGGAUUUCUGGUAGGAGCGACCGUGCCGAACUUGAUUGUUCGUGUAUUGUGUUGUCUUCAGCCAUCCUCGUGGAGAACUUUUCUAACAUUAACUUGUUGGGAUUGGGACCCGCGUCGUUUACUGUGAAAAAAUUAGAGUGUUUAAAGCAGGCAUUAGCUUGAAUACAUUAGCAUGGAAUAAUAAGAUAGGACUUUGGUACUAUUUUGUUGGUUUGCAUACCAAAUUAAUGAUCAACAGGAACAGUUUGAGGAUAUUCGUAUGAACAUGUCAGAGGUGAAAUUCUUGGAUUUUGAUCAGACGAACUACUGCGAAAGCAUUUAUCAAGGAUGUUUUCAUCA
This 392-nucleotide ribosomal RNA is filed under the name Aplanochytrium sp. RNAcentral's name for it is "partial small subunit ribosomal RNA". It matches the Rfam family "Eukaryotic small subunit ribosomal RNA", at positions 582 to 975 of the family's 1831-position model. Lineage: Eukaryota; Bigyra; Thraustochytrida; Thraustochytriidae. The record is from RNAcentral.